This is a long non-coding RNA of Helianthus annuus (common sunflower), 381 nucleotides long. RefSeq lists it as uncharacterized. The record is from RefSeq and is a predicted model, not a curated record. The transcript has 2 exons. NCBI's taxonomy places the organism in Eukaryota, Viridiplantae, Streptophyta, Magnoliopsida, Asterales, Asteraceae.
AUCUGGAACCAUUUACCAAUGUAUUGUUUAAUUGUUCAUAAAUUUAUAGUCUUUUUCCUUUUUGCAGCUUCAUGUAUAUGGAGGUGUAAAAGGGUGGGUACGAGAAAAGUUAUUCAUUUGGAGAUAGACAUUUAUUUGGCCUAUUGGCAAUAUAGAUGCAGAGGAAAUAUUUAAGGAGGUAUUGUUUGACAGGAUUGUGCAGCAAACUUUAAGGGCUCGGAUGUUUUCAACCCGCGCAAAAGAUUUAAAUUGAUUGCGUUUAUCUAUACUAUCGUAUAAAGCAUUUCACAAGGGUUCCAACCAAAUUUAAAUAAUUGCAACAUAUUAUGCUUAUAGUACAACAACUCAAUGAAGUUAGUAAAGGGAAUUAGUCUUUCUACA